This 550-nucleotide ribosomal RNA is filed under the name uncultured bacterium. RNAcentral's name for it is "bacterial SSU rRNA". It matches the Rfam family "Bacterial small subunit ribosomal RNA", at positions 355 to 896 of the family's 1533-position model. The record is from RNAcentral.
UAGGGAAUCUUCGGCAAUGGACGGAAGUCUGACCGAGCAACGCCGCGUGAGUGAAGAAGGUUUUCGGAUCGUAAAGCUCUGUUGUAAGAGAAGAACGAGUGUGAGAGUGGAAAGUUCACACUGUGACGGUAUCUUACCAGAAAGGGACGGCUAACUACGUGCCAGCAGCCGCGGUAAUACGUAGGUCCCGAGCGUUGUCCGGAUUUAUUGGGCGUAAAGCGAGCGCAGGCGGUUAGAUAAGUCUGAAGUUAAAGGCUGUGGCUUAACCAUAGUAGGCUUUGGAAACUGUUUAACUUGAGUGCAAGAGAGGAGAGUGGAAUUCCAUGUGUAGCGGUGAAAUGCGUAGAUAUAUGGAGGAACACCGGUGGCGAAAGCGGCUCUCUGGCUUGUAACUGACGCUGAGGCUCGAAAGCGUGGGGAGCAAACAGGAUUAGAUACCCUGGUAGUCCACGCUGUAAACGAUGAGUGCUAGGUGUUAGACCCUUUCCGGGGUUUAGUGCCGUAGCUAACGCAUUAAGCACUCCGCCUGGGGAGUACGACCGCAAGGUUG